Molecule: unclassified non-coding RNA, 315 nt
Filed under: Hevea brasiliensis (rubber tree)
Lineage: Eukaryota; Viridiplantae; Streptophyta; Magnoliopsida; Malpighiales; Euphorbiaceae
Source: RNAcentral
CUUGAUUUCAAGUCUUUUUUUUUUUUUCCUCAUUUGGGAAUUUCGGUUUUCUAGUUGUAAUAGUUGUUAAACCCCAGCUUCUGAAGCUUAAAAUUCUUCUGUCAUGUAUUUUUUGCUCUUGAUUUCUUAAUCAUUACAAAUAUCAAAUUUUCAGUCUUUGGUGAUAAUUACCUGUUCAAUUACAAAUUUGAAAAGAUAUGAUGAUUAAAAUAUUCUGUCGAAAAAAUGAAUGAUUGAACAAAAUUGAAAAGAAGCUGAAAUCAAUAUCUCAAAUCCUUUUAGAAUUCAUAUUUUCUGUUUGCGACUAGAAAAGAG